This 499-nucleotide ribosomal RNA is filed under the name uncultured bacterium. Its description in RNAcentral is "partial 16S ribosomal RNA". It matches the Rfam family "Bacterial small subunit ribosomal RNA", at positions 28 to 507 of the family's 1533-position model. The record is from RNAcentral.
GACGAACGCUGGCGGCGUGCCUAAUACAUGCAAGUCGAGCGAAGUUUUUCUGGUGCUUGCACUAGAAAGACUUAGCGGCGCACGGGUGAGUAACACGUAAAGAACCUGCCUCAUAGACUGGGACAACUAUUGGAAACGAUAUCUAAUACCGGAUAACAGCAUUAACUGCAUGGUUGAUGUUUAAAAGUUUGUUUUGCUAACACUAUGAGAUGGCUUUGCGGUGCAUUAGCUAGUUGGUGGGGUAAAGGCCUACCAAGGCGACGAUGCAUAGCCGACCUGAGAGGGUGAUCGGCCACACUGGGACUGAGACACGGCCCAGACUCCUACGGGAGGCAGCAGUAGGGAAUCUUCCGCAAUGGGCGAAAGCCUGACGGAGCAACGCCGCGUGAGUGAAGAAGGAUUUCGGUUCGUAAAGCUCUGUUGUUAGGGAAGAAUGAUUGUGUAGUAACUAUACACAGUAGAGACGGUACCUAAUCAGAAAGCCACGGCUAACUACGUG